This is a non-coding RNA of Camelina sativa (false flax), 477 nucleotides long. NCBI's taxonomy places the organism in Eukaryota, Viridiplantae, Streptophyta, Magnoliopsida, Brassicales, Brassicaceae. The record is from RefSeq and is a predicted model, not a curated record.
AACAGAAAGAGGCAAGUUAAUGUUUGUUCUGUUGAUUUGUGGACUCGAUGAAGUAGGCUUCUCGCAAAGCUAAACUCAAAAAGCCAAUCUCAAAGAGCAAUCCAGCUUCUCUCUUUCUCCUCCACCCUGAGACGAGACAUUGUUGUGUAGUUGAGAUGUUCUCUAUUCUGGCCAUUGAAGAUACACAUUUCACAGGGAGCCAAUCCAGAAGUCAAGGAUCCAAAGACGGUUGUGGGCUGAUUUCAUGGAUCAUCCAGAUUAUGGAGCAAGCAUAAAAUCCAGGUAAAGACAAAGUGUGAUCGUUGAAUCAAGGCAAUGAAGAGGAGGAUGUUCUAGUGGCUCGAAUUAGUUGUGGUCUGGGUUUUGUAGGUUGCUAGAGCUGAGUCCUUAGAAUGUUGUCUAAGACUGCUGGUUCUUUGAUUUAUGAUUAGAUUGGUUAUUGGUAAUUUCUUUGGUUUAAUAGUAUCGUUUAUGUUA